This is a long non-coding RNA of Capra hircus (goat), 2544 nucleotides long. RefSeq lists it as uncharacterized. The transcript has 2 exons. NCBI's taxonomy places the organism in Eukaryota, Metazoa, Chordata, Mammalia, Artiodactyla, Bovidae. The record is from RefSeq and is a predicted model, not a curated record.
GAUCAGAUGUGGCUUAUGAAGAGCCUGGGGGAUUUCUUUUGCUGUCUUUACCCACUCCCAACCUCAGCUUCCUAUCGGUGGACAGUCCUGUCAUCAAGGCAACAUAGUCUAUCCUGGGCAUAGUCUGAAAGAUCGCAACAUGAGUCCUGACCCUGGUGCUCCUGAGGGCUUGCCACUUUCCCAUUUUAGGGAUCCUGCCAGCCCCCACAAGGGCCUUCCAGCAAAGGGGCUUCCCAUUAUGUUCUCCCACAGAAGCGCUUCUUCCUUUUGCAUUUCGCAUUCUCCCCUCCUCUCUGUAUACGUCCACCUCCCUUCCUCAUUUCCCCCUGGCCCUUGCCGUGCCUCCCACCUACCUCCGGGUGAAGGAAUAACUGAAGUGGAAGCCACCCAUCUCCGGGGUCCCUGCAUUCAUCUUGUGUAGCACUGGCCAUGGGGUCAGAGAACAGAAAGGAGAGGAAAUGGGGGAGGGAAGCACUGGAGAAACAGAGUGUUCUCCAGGAUGGUUCUCAACCUGCUCCAAUCUGACACUUCAAUUUUCCUGCCAGGACAAAGAUCUUCCAGUUGGAGUUACUCACUCUGAUUCUUCCUUCAGUGAUUCAGAACUUGACCGAAGCAUCACCCUGCACUUCAAAAUCUCCUGUCCAGCCUCACCUGCCUUCAGCUACUCACAGAGCCCCGUCUUCAUGGUGCCACAGGUGAAAAUAGAGAUGGAGCCAGAGUGUGACUUCACAGACAUGGACAGAUACGGGAGAGAAGCUGACGGCGAGACCACCCUCUAGGAGGAGGAGCUUCCCCUGGACACGGCACCGUGAGGGCCUGUGUUAGUCUUCAGCGUGAGGGUCUGGGCCAAAACCCUUCACUUUUCCAAGCCUGUUCCUGUAUUUACCAAGCAGAGAGAGUCAUCCUGCCUGAUCGGUGAAAACUGGAGAUCUGUCGUGCAAAGACCUUUCCUUCCCUUUGUAGUUAUGAAAAUAACGAAAGCUUACUGGUACACCUUAUUUUAAAAUGCAAUCCAGCAUAGAAAUGAUAACAUUUCUUUUGAGAUGAAAAAAAAUGCUUGCCUCUCAAAACUGUAGAUAAGGUAAAGGGGCACUAGUCAGUUUUUAUUUAAAACAAAUAUCAGUUAAGAUUUUUUUUUUAAUGCUUAGAUUUUAAAUUAUCUAGAUGGUCUUAAAAGAACUGUUAAAAUACUUGUACUUCAAUAGACCAAGGUUGGAAAUUUUGUUUUGCAUAUUAAGAAAUGCGAAAAAGGUCCUCUUAUCUCUCCAUCCCAUUCAGUUUUCUAUGAAGAGUUUGAACCAUCUGCAUUCUGGGCCUUGUGCCAGCACAGAAGUGUGACUGGGGCUUUCCCAGUUUGACAGCUAGUUCUGAAAGUCUGGCUAUGAAAGAACCAACACAUUCGAGUGGAUGUUUUAAAAACAAGUGAAAUUUCAAAUCACAUGGCAAAUCAACCAAAUGAUCCUUUAAAUUAGUAUCACUGGUUUUUCAAGCACAGAAUCACAUUUCCUGAUGCAUUUGGGUAGCUCUUUCCUGAAAGUUUUCAAUGGCCUGAUUCCCAAAGUCCAACUAGCAUUCACAUGAACACUGCAUGUUAGGCAAGGCUAACAUGAAAUUUUGGAAGAUUAUAACUCUGUAGUACUAGUCAGACUAGUACUUUAAGGAAUAACUGGAAACAAACUGGGUAGAUUAAAACUCAUUAAAUCACAGACCUUGCUUAAGAGCAGUCUUUUUAACUUCAAUUCACACUUAACAAACACCAACCAUGUUUAUUUACCACCUCUGUGUGCCUGAUAGCCACAGUGCAUCUGACAUUUACCUUCUCCAAAACGACUAUGGAUUUGAAUCUUGGGUAAAUUACUUUAGUUACAGUUACCAGACUUACUCAAGAUGACAAAUGCAGGUGCUUUUUCUUUAUUCCUUUCUAUUUUUUAAAGGUACAAAUGACACUAGACUCAUUAACCAACUUGAAUAUGUGGAUAGCUAAUUGCCUCUGAUCCCCAGAGCCAGUAUAGUGCCUAGUCCAUAGAAAGCUCUCAGUGUUUAUGAAAUGAAAUAUCAGAAGUCCCUUCUAAGGAUACUGCCAUGAGGUAGAGCUCUAAACCUCCACCACUUUUACUGAGAGCAGCAGAAUCACUUAGCUGCUCACUAAUCCAGAACCAUUGCCUGAGUUUAAGUAUAAAUUCUUUGUCUUCAUCUACACCAAUUCUGGGAGAGCUGACAAGCCACUCUUAACAUUGCAGUUUUAAAACCUGGCUGAUUUCCAAUAGCACUUUGUCCAACCUGUGUUGUAGAAAUGGUAUGGAUUCAGGAUUAAAUGUGCUUGAUUAAUCAAACAAGCUGGAAAGCUAAAAUGUUGAUUCUUUUUUGUUGUAAAUUGAUCACUGUAAUUUUUACCUUGUAUGUUAUUUGCAUUUUGUAUACAUACACAGGAACAUUUUAAUUUUAAUAGCUUUUAACAGGUUGACAUAUUGUUACUUCUUCAUACAGGUAAUACUUUUUUCCACUUGUAACUACAAUUCAAUAAAACUUAAUCCCAUUUGCUCA